GGGUAGGUGGCGUAAUUGGUAGCCGCGCCAGCCUUAGGAGCUGGUCCCGCAAGGGGUGGAGGUUCGAGUCCUCUCCUACCCA
RNAcentral lists this transfer RNA (82 nucleotides) under bacterium. Its description in RNAcentral is "tRNA-Leu". It matches the Rfam family "tRNA". Rfam says of the family: Transfer RNA (tRNA) molecules are approximately 80 nucleotides in length. Their secondary structure includes four short double-helical elements and three loops (D, anti-codon, and T loops). The record is from RNAcentral.